Molecule: ribosomal RNA, 433 nt
Filed under: uncultured bacterium
Lineage: Bacteria
Description: partial 16S ribosomal RNA
Rfam family: Bacterial small subunit ribosomal RNA
Source: RNAcentral
AGCGAACGCUGGCGGCAGGCCUAACACAUGCAAGUCGAACGAACCUUUCGGGGUUAGUGGCGGACGGGUGAGUAACACGUGGGAACGUGCCUUUAGGUUCGGAAUAACUCAGCGAAACUUGUGCUAAUACCGAAUGUGCCCUUCGGGGGAAAGAUUAAUCGCCUUUAGAGCGGCCCGCGUCUGAUUAGCUAGUUGGUUGAGGUAAUGGCUCACCAAGGCGACGAUCAGUAGCUGGUCUGAGAGGAUGAUCAGCCACAUUGGGACUGAGACACGGCCCAAACUCCUACGGGAGGCAGCAGUGGGGAAUCUUGCGCAAUGGGCGAAAGCCUGACGCAGCCAUGCCGCGUGAAUGAUGAAGGUCUUAGGAUUGUAAAAUUCUUUCACCGGGGACGAUAAUGACGGUACCCGGAGAAGAAGCCCCGGCUAACUUCGU